This 87-nucleotide transfer RNA is filed under the name Kwoniella bestiolae CBS 10118. RNAcentral's name for it is "tRNA-Thr". The record is from RNAcentral. Lineage: Eukaryota; Fungi; Basidiomycota; Tremellomycetes; Tremellales; Cryptococcaceae.
GCCUUCUUAGUUCAGUGGUUUAGAAUUUGUCACUAGUAGUUUUCGAAUGCUAUGACAGGGUCACUCGUUCGAUUCGGGUAGAAGGCA